AGUGAACGCUGGCGGUAGGCCUAACACAUGCAAGUCGAACGGCAGCACAGUAAGAGCUUGCUCUUACGGGUGGCGAGUGGCGGACGGGUGAGGAAUACAUCGGAAUCUACUUUUUCGUGGGGGAUAACGUAGGGAAACUUACGCUAAUACCGCAUACGACCUACGGGUGAAAGCAGGGGAUCUUCGGACCUUGCGCGAUUGAAUGAGCCGAUGUCGGAUUAGCUAGUUGGCGGGGUAAAGGCCCACCAAGGCGACGAUCCGUAGCUGGUCUGAGAGGAUGAUCAGCCACACUGGAACUGAGACACGGUCCAGACUCCUACGGGAGGCAGCAGUGGGGAAUGUUGGACAAUGGGCGCAAGCCUGAUCCAGCCAUGCCGCGUGGGUGAAGAAGGCCUUCGGGUUGUAAAGCCCUUUUGUUGGGAAAGAAAAGCAGCAGGUUAAUACCCCGCUGUUCUGACGGUACCCAAAGAAUAAGCACCGGCUAACUUCGUG
This 492-nucleotide ribosomal RNA is filed under the name uncultured bacterium. RNAcentral's name for it is "partial 16S ribosomal RNA". It matches the Rfam family "Bacterial small subunit ribosomal RNA", at positions 29 to 507 of the family's 1533-position model. The record is from RNAcentral.